Molecule: ribosomal RNA, 492 nt
Filed under: uncultured bacterium
Lineage: Bacteria
Description: partial 16S ribosomal RNA
Rfam family: Bacterial small subunit ribosomal RNA
Source: RNAcentral
GAUGAACGCUAGCUACAGGCUUAACACAUGCAAGUCGAGGGGAAACGACAUCGAAAGCUUGCUUUUGAUGGGCGUCGACCGGCGCACGGGUGAGUAACGCGUAUCCAACCUGCCCAUCACUUGGGAAUAACCUUGCGAAAGUAAGACUAAUACCCAAUGAUAUCCCACGAAGGCAUCGGAAUGGGAUUAAAGAUUUGUCGGUGAUGGAUGGGGAUGCGUCUGAUUAGCUUGUUGGCGGGGUAACGGCCCACCAAGGCAACGAUCAGUAGGGGUUCUGAGAGGAAGGUCCCCCACAUUGGAACUGAGACACGGUCCAAACUCCUACGGGAGGCAGCAGUGAGGAAUAUUGGUCAAUGGGCGAGAGCCUGAACCAGCCAAGUAGCGUGCAGGAAGACGGCCCUAUGGGUUGUAAACUGCUUUUAUAAGGGAAUAAAGUGGGUCACGUGUGACUUUUUGCAUGUACCUUAUGAAUAAGGACCGGCUAAUUCCGUG